This is a long non-coding RNA of Pan troglodytes (chimpanzee), 6381 nucleotides long. RefSeq lists it as uncharacterized. The record is from RefSeq and is a predicted model, not a curated record. The transcript has 9 exons. Lineage: Eukaryota; Metazoa; Chordata; Mammalia; Primates; Hominidae.
ACGCUGAUGAGGCUGGGGAGAGUAACACCGGUUGAUUGUGGCGCAGGUGUUGCUGAGCCUGAUUAGUUUUAGAGUUGCACUGGCAGAAGGGGAAAUUGAAAAAGAUAAAUGAAGUUAAGUAAAAGUGUAUUUGCUGCUGGUAAAGCCAUGCAUUUGCCACCGUCCCCUUGAAUGUCAUGGGGUGAAGAAUUAUAAGGGCAGAGAGGAAAAAACUUAGAUAAGCAAGAAGAAAUAGAUUGAUCAACUUCUUCCCAAGCUCGUACCAAUAUGGAAGCUUCACCAAGCAGUCAAAUUUUUCUGUGUGAUCUUUGAGAUGGAGGUCUUACUAUGUUGCCCAGGCUGGUCUUGAACUUCUGGACUCAAGUGAUCUUCCUGCCUCAGUCUCCCAAACUACUGGAACUACAGUAUGUACUAAAAACAGGGCUGUGAGUUUCAAGAGGGCAGAGGCAUGUCUGUUCACUUCUUUGUGACUAGGACCUAGCUCAGUGCCUGAACCACGGUAGAUUCUCACCACCUGUUUGAUUCUGAUGAAUUCACUGAGAACACCGACUCAUUGGCACAGGCAGCACCUCCUUAAGAGUUUUCUUUUAAACCACCUUAGCAUUUAUGUGCUCCAACCUCAAAGCAACACCUGUCAAGUUUCUCUCCUCUGGCUAGUUCUCAGCCAAGUUGUCACCCACUUGGAAGAGAGUGAAACUAAAAUAGUUUAUUACCAUCUACUGCGCUACUAAGUACUGGACACUGUGUUAGACAGGAUGUCACUCUGUCACCUAGACUGGAAUUCAGUGGUGCGGUCAUAGCUCACAGCAGCCUCAACCUCCUGGGCUCAAGCAAUCCUCCAGCCUCCAUCUCCUGAGUAGCUGGAACUACAGAAUGUCCUGUGUGCUUUUGGUAUCAUCAUUAUGCUGGACUCACAUGAGAGAUGGAAAAGAUGGGGAAACUGAGUGCUAGAAAUCCAAGGUUCAUAAAGUUGGAUUCCCCAAAUGAUAAACACAUAAGAGACCCUAAAAGCGUGUUGACUGUUCUACCAUGUGAGGACAUGGCAAGAAGGCACUAGAAAGUGGACCCUCACCAGACACUGAAUCUGCCGAAAACUUGAUCAUGGACUUUGCAGCCCCCGGAACUGUGGGCAAUAUAUUUCCAUUGUUUAUAAGUCACCCAGUUUAUGGUAUUUUGUUAUAGCAGCCUGAAUAGACUAAGACAGUACAUGAAUGCGUACCAACCAGCUUAAGAAAAAUAAUAUAGGACUUUUACGGGAGACCUUGUGGCAUUUUACAUAUCUUGAUGGACACAUGAGGGAAGAAAGACUAGCCUCUUGUAAAUGACAUUUAAAUAAUCAGUGACCCUUCUCUUUAUUAAAUAUGGCUGAAUCCCUUUCUUAGAAUAUGACACAUCAUAUCAACAAUACUUGAUAAACUAGAGACUUAAUGAAUAAUUGAAAAACAAAUAUAUUUUCCUUUCUAUAGGCUUUCAAGGUUGGAUAUGAAAAAGAAAAAUUAAUGAAAAUAAUGACAUUCCCAAAUAGAAUUUACAGAAUUCACAAACUAUCAAUAACCUUUAUUAAAUAAUCAAAUACAAACCUUAGUUAUUUCAUUUUGGAUAUGGUAGAACAGUCAAUCCAAAUGUGAUCAGCUCAUCAUAUAUCAAAUAUAUGUUACAUGAAAUGUAAUCAAGAACUCUGAAAUUUUACUUAAUUCUAUUUCUAGAAAUAUCUAAUUAAUUAAUGUUUUAGAGACACCGUCUCACUCUCUCACCCAGGCUGGAGUGCCAUGGUGCCAACGUAGCUCACUGCAGCCUUGAACUCCUGGGCUCAAGCAAAACUCCCACCUCAGACCCCUCAGUAUCUGGGAUUACAGGUGUCUUAAUUGUCAACAUGAUAGUAUUAAGCAGUGGGGCCACUGGAGGGUGAUUAAGUUAUGAGAGCACAGCCUUCAUGAUUGGGAUUAGUCAACUUAUAAAAGAGAUGCAAGAGAGCUGUUUACCCCUUCUCCCGCGUGAGAACACAGUAAGAGUCACCAUCUAUGAAGCAUAGUGUGAGCCUUCACCAGACAGCUAAUCUACUCAUAAUUUGACAGUGAACUUCCCAGACUCCAAAACUGUGAGAAAUAAAUUUCUAUAAUUUAUAAAUUACCCAGUCUAAAGUAUUUUGUUAUAUCAGCCUGGAUGGACUAAGAUUAUAUUUAUAUGUAUAUACAGUGUAUACAUGUGUAUAUAUAAACAUAUGUACAUACAAUGCAUACAUGUAUAUAUAUAAAUGCUCAUGCACAUAUAUAUGGAAAUAAUAUUCUUUAUAUAUGUCUAGGAAAAUCUCUUGGAGAACUGAAAAAUAAGCACACAUACACAUACACACCAUGCUUAUGGACAGUAGAAUGUUUUAAGAAAGAGCUAUGAUGUCUAGUUUGAAAGCAAAUGAGAAGAUCCUAUUCUUAUUUAGGAGAUAUAAAAAUAACUAAAUAGAUAAAAAUGACUGAAUUAGGAAAAAGACUGAAUGCCAUGGGCUGAUUGUUAAGAGACAUGCUUGAAUGUUUGGAAUCUCCACAAACUUAUGUUUAUUUAAUGUAAGCAGUUAGCCUUCUGAUUCUCAUAUUCCACAUAUCCACAAAUAAGACUCAAAACUUUAUUCUGUAUUUUCAAAACACAAAACAAAUGUAAAUGGAAUUUAAAAGCCAAAGAUGCUACAAAGAUUUUGACUACAUGAUGACAUCAAAAAGACAAUGAAGUUGAUGUUGAAUAAGACAAAGGACAAAAUGUGAUGUAACAGAUAUCAUCAAUACUCUACCAAGCUCUCCUUGGAUCCUUCAUGCAGGCCCUGCGUGCUCUGCUCUGUCUUCUGUGUGAUUCGUUUCUAACAGUGAGCACCUGUGACUAACUUUGAGGAUGACUGUUGCAUUAUCACAGCACUUGCUUGGAAGGUGCAGUUACUCAAAAGUAUUAGACAGUCUUUAUCUGCCUGUGAUUGUUCUUAGCCAAUGACUCUCUAUUAUAGGAGUUUCAAUGCCUAGCUCCUUGGCCACAAGUACACAAAUUCCGAUAAUAAGCUACACAAGAGCUUUCCCCAGGGGCUUCCCUCAAGCAUUCUUCCUUGAAAUCGCUCAAUUGCUUUGCAUCCUCUUCUGCUCUGUCCUAAUCUCCUAUUACCUUACUAGAUUGUUCUGGAAAGUCAUGCGGACAUAGUUAUCUCAGGGUCUUCUUUUGGGAAACUCAAAAUAAGACAGAUGAUGAGUCCUCCUAUUAUAUAUCACUUUACGGUUUUCUUUAUUAUAUUACUUUAUCUUCAAUUCAUCUUGUGAGGUGUUUAUUUCAAAAAUGGAAAAGGUGACCCUCUAAAGAUUAAGUAAUUAACCUGAUAUCAUACAAUAAUUCAAGUGCAAAGUCAAAACUUAAACUUGAACCUUUCUCAGAAUGUUAGAAUAUAUAUAUAUUUUCAGUGACAUCUAUCCAAGUGUAUAUUAUUACAGAACACUUUAGUUUGCAAGAUAGUUCCCCUUGUUUGAUUGGAAAAUCUGGGCUUAAUAUCAAAUACCAUGGAGAUAUAAGAAAAAAACAACAAUUUUAGGGAAAGAUAAGUUUAUUUUACUUGCCUAUAAUAUCUGAAGAUGUAAGAUCUUAUGAAAUAAAAUUUUUAACAAAUUGUCUUAUUUGUUACUAAUAGUAAGUGUCAAGUUGAAUGACCCUUAAAUAAAAGAAAAACAUGGAUAAAUUACAUUUCUCCAAGAGACAAUAAAAACAUCCUUUUUAAGUAUCUAUCACUCUAUCCAAUCUAAUGGACACUUAAAAUAUCACCGCUAGUGAUUGCAUUUGAAAGAAAAUUGCUUGAACAUUUUAAUCUUUUAUAAGUUUGUAAGUAAUAAACUGAAAAUCUAAAGACAUUGGUUAAAUAAAUGGACUACUUGGUUACAAAAACAAACGUUAACAUUGACUUUUUUUCUUAAUUUCUGAAUAUUGAUGUAAACUGACUGCCUACCAUUAAAAAAACUAACCAUUUGUGCUUACCUAGCUGUUUUCUGGAAGUAUAAGUGAGAGGCAGAGGAUCUUAGUUUUUGAUCAUUUUCUGUUUUGCUAAGAACUCUUGAAUUCUACAGAAUAUCUAGAGUAAAAGGAAUAUGGUCCCUGUGCCAAUUGUUUAAACUCUGCAGUAAUCAGGAAUACACAACCUUUUAAAAAAAUGUGCCGGCUGCGGUGGCUCAUGCCUGUAAUCCUAGCACUUUAGGAGGCGGAGGCAGGAGGAUAACCUGAGGUCAGGAGUUCGAGACCAGUUUGGCCAACACGGUGAAACCCUGUCUUUACUAAAAAUACAAAAAAAUUAGCUGUGCGUGGUGGCAGGUGCCUGUAAUCCCAGUACUUGGGAGGCUGAGGCAGGAAAAUCACUUGAACUCGGGAUGCAGAGGUUUCAGCGAGCCAAGAUCACACCAUUGCAAUCCAGCCUGGGCAACAAAAGGAAAACUCUGUCUAAAAAAAAAAAAAAUGCGUUGAUGAUUCUACCUUUAGUCAAGAUAGAGUAACUGCUACUGGACUGAGUCUGAGUCUCUUAAAGCAAAAAUAGAGAACUGGACAAAAUGUAUGAAAUAAGUGUCUUCAGACAUUGAACAGAAUUCUGAUCUCUGAGAAAAAGAGAAGCUCAAGUGAGUUAAAUGAUUGCUCCAGUUUUCUACCAAAAGUCAUUUCCCCAGCUGUAGCAUAAAAGAGGCACAGUUUAGUAGUCUUAUUGAGAUGACACAAAGGAAUGAAUUUGGAGAGGCUAAAGUGGUUGACAUACGUAGGGCAAAUUAUCAAAGUGAAGAGUACUCAAGAACUUACAUAGAGUCUCCCUCAGUCUAUUAUUGCUAAAUAUCAGUCUCUAAAUGUGCAGGAUUAGAAUGUAGGAGACUAGGCAAGGAACAAUCAUUGGUGAUAGAACAACUACUUAUGCGUCGAACAACUCCCAGAGUUCACAAACAUUUCGGAAGCACCCAAGUUCUGAUUACACAAAAAGGAAGAACCAUUGUGAAUACCUGGAGCAUUCUUUAAAGAACCCAGAAAGCCCAAAACCUUAGAGUAGAAAUAAACUACCCUGAAGUAAAGUUGUUUGGUGGGAAAAUAUUGGCUUAAUAUCAAACACCAUAGAUAUAUAAGAUGAAAACAAUUUUAGAGAAAUAUAAGUUUAUUUUACUUGUCUAUGAUAUUUGGAGACAUAAGACCCCGUGAAACACGUAGACAUGCUAGCAAAACUUAAAACCAGUAAAUUACCUGCUUUCUUAAAAAAUCCACAUUGGUUAAAGAAAUACAACAAUAUCCAGCACGAAUCGGUCAGUAGCAACAAAGCAAGAAAUAUUAGAGAUGAUAAGAUUAGUAGAUGAGGCCUUAAAGCACACAUUAUAAAUAUGUGCAAGGACUUAAAGGAAACAUAAAUACAAUGAAAAGUAAAAACAAAAAAAUUUAAAGACCAAGGGGGAAAUAUCUAAAGUUGAUAAAUAUAUGUAAAAUGAAAAAAUCACAAGGUAAGCUUAAAAAAAUUGGAUAUUAUAGGAAAAAAUUAAAGAUAUUUCAGUUGAAACCAAAUAAAAUGCAAAGAGAAAAAUGACUGAAAUAAAUUAACAGACCCUCAGUAAACUCUGGGGCAACAUCGAGAAUUGUAACAAAAGUGUAAUUGGAGUACCAGAAGGAAAUGGAAGAAAAUGGAAAAGAAGCAUUCAAAAUGGCUUAAAAUUUCUAAAAAUAUAUGAAGCCAUGUAUCCAUGUAGACCAACAGAUCUGAAGGAGAAGAAACACAAAUAAAAUCAUAACAAUGGAUAAAAUGAUUAAGUUGCUGAGUGCUAAUUAUAUAUAUAUAUAUAAAACUUAAAUAGUCAAGAUAGAAAGCUGAAGCUUUAUGGGCUUAAAGUAUCAGAGGACACAGUUUGAGAUAACCUGGAUUCUCUAGAAGCAUGGGAACCACAGAGAGGGGGAGCAACUCUGAAUAGGUAUUUUAAAAAUCAAAUUCUUGGCCAAUCGUCAAAUAAUUCAGGUCCACGUGAGGAUCUUAGAGAUCUGCAGGAAAAUAAGGAGGAGUUGGAAGCUACAUGAACAGAACAGAGACAUCAUCAAGUGCAAUAAUGGGGGAGACAAAAUUUGCAGUUUAAGUUUUGUAACAUUAUCUCUAUUAAAACAAAAGCAACCAGAAUCUUCAGAAGAAGCUAACAGAAUUCAGAGGCACUAUGAUUUAUUUUAUAUAAUGUCCAGUUUAAUUUUCAACCCAAAGUAUUAGACACAAAAAGCUUCUGAACAGUGUGACACAUUUCCAGGAAAAAAAAGAAUUCAGUCAAUAAAAAAAAAUGAGUGUCAUUGAGAUCAGAGAUCAGAUUGAAGCAACAAAUAACUACAAAAAUUACUAAAAAUAUGUGAAGAAAAAUACGGUUUUGUAUC